Molecule: long non-coding RNA, 291 nt
Filed under: Bos indicus x Bos taurus (hybrid cattle)
Lineage: Eukaryota; Metazoa; Chordata; Mammalia; Artiodactyla; Bovidae
Description: lncRNA (ENSBIXG00005022192.1)
Source: RNAcentral
CUACUUAACUGAAGCUUGAGUCGGGGUUCUGCUUUUUUCCAGUCUGCUCCUUGGGCCUUGGAGUCUGCUUGUCUGUCCAGCUUCUCCCUCGGUGCCCACAGCGUGCUUGCCUCUUCAGUGUCAACACCAGGGGGUUUGGAGGAAGAACCUACAGAGUGUUUUUGAUGAUGCUCCUCACCUUAUUUUGUGACUUCACUUUCUGAAGAGAAAGCUCUGGCUUUUGAGGAAUCCACUUGUAGACUGGGCAAGUAAUUUCAGUCAUCAUUUUACUCUUGGUUUGAACUACCUUCU